Molecule: ribosomal RNA, 158 nt
Filed under: uncultured bacterium
Lineage: Bacteria
Description: partial 16S ribosomal RNA
Rfam family: Bacterial small subunit ribosomal RNA
Source: RNAcentral
UGAGGAAUAUUGGUCAAUGGGAGGAGAUCCUGAACCAGCCAAGCCGCGUGAGGGAAGACGGCCCUAUGGGUUGUAAACCUCUUUUGUCGGAGAACAAAACCCGGGACGUGUCCCGGACUGCGUGUAUCCGAAGAAAAAGCAUCGGCUAACUCCGUGCC